This 107-nucleotide small nucleolar RNA is filed under the name Gossypium arboreum. RNAcentral describes it as "Plant small nucleolar RNA R71". It matches the Rfam family "Plant small nucleolar RNA R71". From Rfam's summary of the family: R71 is a member of the C/D box family of snoRNAs containing the C (UGAUGA) and D (CUGA) box motifs. Multiple nearly identical copies of this snoRNA have been identified in Arabidopsis, and it is thought to function as a 2'-O-ribose methylation guide for 18S ribosomal RNA. Lineage: Eukaryota; Viridiplantae; Streptophyta; Magnoliopsida; Malvales; Malvaceae. The record is from Rfam by way of RNAcentral.
AAACCAUGGUGAGGACAACUUCUCAAUAAAUCCUUAUACCUCUCUCAUGAAUCAUAUAAAGUCUCUAUAUCCAUUUGCAUGAAGGAAGAGAUAUCAUUCCUCAGCUU